Molecule: transfer RNA, 73 nt
Filed under: Candidatus Omnitrophota bacterium
Lineage: Bacteria; Pseudomonadati; Candidatus Omnitrophota
Also listed under: 1 other name
Description: tRNA-Ala
Rfam family: tRNA
About the family: Transfer RNA (tRNA) molecules are approximately 80 nucleotides in length.
Source: RNAcentral
GGGGAUAUAGCUCAACUGGGAGAGCGCCUGCCUUGCACGCAGGAGGUCGGGGGUUCGAAUCCCCCUAUCUCCA